Molecule: long non-coding RNA, 1076 nt
Organism: Vidua macroura (Pin-tailed whydah)
Lineage: Eukaryota; Metazoa; Chordata; Aves; Passeriformes; Viduidae
Exons: 3
Source: RefSeq, a predicted model, not a curated record
GGAAGAGAACAGCACACUGGCUCCCUGCCCAGCCACCAGCAGCAUUCACCUUCUCUGCCUCUCCAGCUCUGUAGCUGUAAACCUGCUCAGAACUGGCAAUGAGCUCUUCUGACACGGUGCCCUGCUGUGAAUGGCCACCCCUGAGCUCCCCUGAAGGGCCAAACCAGAGGUGGGCAACUGGUUCCUGAUCAGCCUGGGUCGCUCUGCCCACUGCUGUGUUAGGAUGCAGUUGGGAAAUGGAGAACAAAGAGAGCAGCAAGAUCCUUCUUGACACAGUCCCCUGUCGUGCUUCAAGUGGACACUUCCAAGAAGAUAGGAGGUAAGGAAAUCCUGUACAUAAAAAAUCGGGAGGUAGCUGGUUGCCCAGGAUGGAGAGAUAAAAGAGAUUUUAUAUUUUUCAAGGUUUGUACUCCUUGUAAGCUAAAAACAAAUCUACCAGGAGUAGAUACAGAAUUCCUGCAGCAGUUUCACCAGCACUCAACAGAGAUAAUGUGCCUUUCUAAUUUCUGCCUGAUUUGGAGUUCUGAUGUAUCUAGAAUGAGGAAACACCUGUGCACUGCAUUGCAGAGCCAUAUGGCUCAGGCACCAUAACCAAACCCAGCUCAGGUGUCUGUACAUAGCUGUGUGACCUUUAAGUUAAUCUUGUCAUCCAGGGCUUUACUGUGGGAGUUCAUUGUAUGGAUAAUUGUCCCUGAUGUCAUUUUCAGAGUUAAUGUAUUGCCCAUCUCCAGACAAAGCACAGAAGCUUCACGGGUGACCCAGCUCAGCCAGAGCACAAAAGUUAAGAGGUGAAGAUGAGCAGGAAAAUAAUGAGAGCUUUUCCUUUUUCAUUUCAUUGUUCAGAUCCAGUUUUGACAACUAACAGCAGAGCAGUGUCUCACAAACUCUUGUCACAGGGGACAUCCCAGGAAAGAUCAAAGAGCUGCAUCUAUUCAGAAAUAUUGUUCUUGUCUACACUGAGUGUUCCUUAAAGUUUUGUCGAAAGGAUUUUAGAAAGGCUCUCCAUCUGACAGCUGGUGUCUUUUCUUGACCUCUUCCUUCUCUUAAACUGACCAAAUAAGGAGUUUGCUUGGGAU